This 774-nucleotide ribosomal RNA is filed under the name Hebeloma edurum. RNAcentral's name for it is "LSU rRNA". It matches the Rfam family "Eukaryotic large subunit ribosomal RNA", at positions 131 to 900 of the family's 3401-position model. The record is from RNAcentral. Lineage: Eukaryota; Fungi; Basidiomycota; Agaricomycetes; Agaricales; Hymenogastraceae.
UGGCCGUCCGAGUUGUAAUCUAGAGAGGUGUUAUCCGCGCUGGACCGUGUACAAGUCUCCUGGAAUGGAGCGUCAUAGAGGGUGAGAAAUCCCGUCUUUGACACGGACUUGCCAGGGCUUUGUGAUGCGCUCUCAAAGAGUCGAGUUGUUUGGGAAUGCAGCUCAAAAUGGGUGGUAAAUUCCAUCUAAAGCUAAAUAUUGGCGAGAGACCGAUAGCGAACAAGUACCGUGAGGGAAAGAUGAAAAGAACUUUGGAAAGAGAGUUAAACAGUACGUGAAAUUGCUGAAAGGGAAACGCUUGAAGUCAGUCGCGUUGGCCGGGGAUCAACCUUGCUUUUGCUGGGCGUACUUUCCGGUUGACGGGUCAGCAUCAAUUUUGACCGUUGGAUAAAGUUCAGGGGAAUGUGGCAUCUUCGGAUGUGUUAUAGCCCUUGGUCGCAUACAACGGUUGGGAUUGAGGAACUCAGCACGCCGAAAGGCCGGGUACUUGUACCACGUUCGUGCUUAGGAUGCUGGCAUAAUGGCUUUAAUCGACCCGUCUUGAAACACGGACCAAGGAGUCUAACAUGCCUGCGAGUGUUUGGGUGGAAAACUCGGACGCGCAAUGAAAGUGAAAGUUGAGAUCCCUGUCGCGGGGAGCAUCGACGCCCGGACCAGACCUUUUGUGACGGAUCCGCGGUAGAGCAUGUAUGUUGGGACCCGAAAGAUGGUGAACUAUGCCUAAGCCAGAGGAAACUCUGGUGGAGGCUCGUAGCGAUUCUGACGUGCAAAUCG